Long non-coding RNA from Mastacembelus armatus (zig-zag eel), 4197 nucleotides. Ensembl annotates it as ICOS ligand-like. Lineage: Eukaryota; Metazoa; Chordata; Actinopteri; Synbranchiformes; Mastacembelidae. The record is from Ensembl.
AUGAAGGACUUCGGUUAUGUCUCCAGGUGUGUGUGAAACAGGAAGAUGAAUACAGCGUGUGGAGACAUGUCUGAUUUACAAAAACAUGUUUGAGCACUUUCAUGGGGAAGGAAUGUUUGGAAAGUUUUCUGAUGACUUCCUCCUCCUGAACCGCGCAGUGUGAUAGAGUUCGGUCUCCCCCUCCAUCGUCUACGCUGACUCCAGUAUCGCCUGCCUCCUGAGGCAGACGCGUUUCAAAGCGUUAGAGAACCGGAUUCCUUCACUGGUACCCCCGCGCCCUUCAGGUAUGUCAUGGUUGCUUUCCUCUUCCUACGGGACACCCCCACGGUGUGUUUGUUCACUGCUGUGUGUGUGUGCACUUUGGAUGGGUUAAAUGCAGAGCACAAAUUCUGAGUAUGGGUCACCAUACUUGGCCAGAAAGUCACUUUCACUUUCAACAAUCUCCGAGAAACCGUUUAAAAGCCGUAGGUUGGCGUUCCUUGUCACGUUAGAGAGGCGAAUCUAAAUCAGGCAGACGUCUACAGCUCAGCAGCAGUUCAGACAGUUAAAUCAAUAGUUUGACAACAAGCCGAAUAUCAUCGCGUUCUGGAUGAAGCAGCACAAAGUUAAAAUGGCAAAGCGGUUUUUAUCUGGCUUCUUGCUUGUUUUCUACUGUAUUGCUAACAUGGUGCUGCAAGUUUUAUCUGCUAACAUCGUCAAUGGAACCAGAGGAGCCUCAUGGAUCUGGCCAUGCCAUCACACCCUCAGUGAACCGCUCCAGACUGGAGAAAUCUCCAUAUACUGGCAGGGCCAAAAUAAUUCCCAUAUUGUUGUGCAUGUUUACACAAAGGGGAAAGAAGAUUUCAAGUACCAAAGCCAGACAUUUAAAAAUAGGACUAAAAUCUUCCCAGAUCAGUUAUCUUCUGGCAACUUCUCACUUGCCAUUGAGCCACUGACACUGAGAGAUGACCAGACCUUCCUGGAAGUCAUUCUUGCACCAGGAAACAGACCUAGCGAGAAGCUCUGCCAGACAAGUCUAUAUGUGGCAGCUCUUUUCCAGAAACCUCAAAUUGAGAUAAACCAAACAGAGAUGACAGCAGCCUGCAGCACAAAGGGAGGUUACCCUAAACCUGAAAUCAGAUGGAGUUUUGAGGGUGGUGUGAGUAGAGUGGGACAACAUGAAGUACAGACCACUGUGACCUAUGAAGAAGAUGGCACCUAUAGUGUCCACAGCACUGCAAACAUCACAGGAUUACAGAAAGUGACCUGUGAUGUCUACAACCCGACUUCAAACCAGACUGUGAGUUCAACUAAAGAUGUGCCCCCUCACAGUCCUGUGUCUCCAGGUAUUACUGCAGUCAUCAUCAUCAUCAUCGUCGUCGUCAUCAUCAUCAUCAUCUUUGCUGCCUAUAGGAUAUUAACAACAGAAAUGCCACCUGCCAAGGCAAACAGGUCCAAGGUGAUGGACCAGACCAAGAGUGCAGCCUGGGCUCUGGAACCCAUCCUUGAGAGGGGCUGGACUCUCUUCUACUCUGGAGUUGCCUGCAGUAAGAGGCGGCGGGCUGGUGUGGGCUUACUUAUAGCUCCCCAGCUCAGCCGCCUGGUGUUGGAGUUUUCCCCAUUGAAUGAUAGGGUCACUUCCUUGGACCUUCGGGCACAGGUCUCUUACUGUUGUUUCGGCCUAUGAGCGGAAUAGCAGUACAGAAUACCUGGCCUUCUUGGAGUCUCUGGGAGGGUCCGGUUCUCCUAAAAGACUGGGCAAUGUACCCAAGUCUCAUCCUGGUGGGUCGGCUGGUGCUGCCAACGCCACUACAUCUCCAGAUCCUGGACUUCGUCCCGUGGGUCAGCUGGUCUGGCUGAUGCCACUGCAUCUCCUGACCCUGAGCUUCAUCCCAGUGGCUUGGCUGAGCUUGUCGACGCCAUUGUCCCUCCUGAACCUGAUCUUCAUCCCGUUGGGUCAGCUGGUUCUGCCGACGCCACUGCUCCUUCUCCUGAGCCUAGUCCCAGUGGGUCGGCCAGUCCUGCCAACGCCACCACAUCUCCAGAUUCUGACCUUUGUCAUGGUGAUUCGGCCAGUCCCACCAAUGCCACCACAGCCAGUGUUCCUGCUUGUCCGAGGGGUCGUCCACAAGAGUGACCCUGGAUUCAUGUCUGCCUGAGUGGCCGCCCUGGAUCUUAAUCUGUCCCGGGGUGUCGUCCUCCCAAGCGAUCCCAGACUUCAGCUCACCUGAAGGGUCGCCCACCAGAGCAGUUUCAGAUCUCAGCUUGUCCGAGGGAUCAUCUUCCAUAGUGGCCCCAGACUUCAGCUCUCCUGAGGGGUCGUCCACUGGACUAACUCCGGAUUCACGUCUGCAUGGGGGACAACCUUCUUGGGUGGACCCCCACCCUCAGCAGCAGUGAGCACUUCUUACACAGCAGUUGCAAGUAGUAGUAUAAAGCUCCCAUUGGAAAUGAAUGGCUGAAAUGAAUGGCCCCUCUAGAGCACAGAUAAGCUACAUACAUUAAAAUAGAGGUUCAGAUUAAAGAAACCUUUAUUCUAUUUGUAAAAAUGCAAAAAAUGGCAAUUGUUUUCUAAUUCUUAAGAAUAAAAGUAAACUAAUAUACUGAUAGAAGCCAGAGUGAAUCAUGACAUAUGUUUACACAGAUAAAUAUUUAUUUACAAUUUUUAAAAAUGUGUAUAUAUUUUACAUUUAAGACCACUGAAUUUUCACACCAAAUUGCCAUAAAUAUUUGGUGUGAGAAAAAACUUGUAUGAGGUCAGGUUGGUCCUGGCUGAUGCAUGUCAUAGACCACAUCAUUUCAUAACAUUACUAUAGUUAAAUUAUGUCUAACCAAACCCAAUGUUGAGACUUUAAUUCACGCAAUUGUUUCUUCCUGCCGCGAAUAAUUAUCUAGUCCAGAUCAGAUGAAGAUUGUGUAUGAAACUGGAGUCCAGUUUUGUGUGUACAUAAUGAUUCAAUAAGACCCAAGUGCAGAGACUUAAAUCACGUAAAAUAUAUUCCUUAAAUAAAAUAAAAUACGUUGAUAGGGGAGGUUGUUUUUGAAACAGCCACAGAAGAGUUACCAAUGACAUGAAUCAGUGAUCCAUUACCAUAAGCGUCUCAUUAAUACUACCAUUUAUGUUGUGAAAGUUCCACCUUUGGAGUACAAGGUAAUGCUAGUGCUGAACUCAAAAGCACUCUGCUCUCCACACCUAUUUCCCAUGCUGUUUUUAACUAAACAAUUUUUUUCUUUUUGGAGCUUAAUAAAUUAAUAAUGGACCAAUAAAAACUUUAAAGUUUUGAAGCCUUCUCUGCAUUACUGCCAAACAAUGAUUUAUUGCUUCAAAUACCAGGGACACCGGGCAUUGCUGAUGCUGGUGGUUUAUUCAUCUCAGAUCUCUCAUAUUUAUGCAACAUUUCAUAACGGCAUGUGAUGGGAGAAUCAUAUUAUUUUAAUUAGCUGAUUACUUUUACUACAGUUAUACUGUAAUAAAAAAUUCACACGCUUGUGAUUAUGUCUUACUGCUUGUCCUAUGACUUCUUGUUGGUUUUGCACUGGUUGAGGUUGUGAUUGUUUCGAUAUGAUUUUGGUCGCUUUCCAUUAUGAUGAAACUCAAGUUUAAGACUACUGAGUCAGCUCCAUUUUCUCAGCGACAGCCAUGAGAUGUGGUUAAAAGCUCUGAAAAAGGAAGUCUACCUCUAUCUCGGGUAUUUUGUUAUACACACUGUUCCUAAAAAUUAACUUCCACGAUCAAAUAUAUCAUGACACUCACUAAAAAGGUAUUCUGUCAGGUUGUUUCCUUUUUGUGUAAAUAGUAAUUAGCUGUAAUUGUCCAGGGCUUCUAGUUAGUAGAUGCAGCUAAGUGCCUUGAGAUGAUUGUAUUGUGAUAUGGAGCUAUACAAAUGAAACUGAAUUGAAUUGAAUUGAAGCUAGCAUUCCAACUCAUAGAGCAGGCUACACCAACAGGUUUUGUUCAUGGAACACUUUAUCUUAGCAAAAUGUGUUAGUUUUGGACCCAUAAUAUCUGAAAUACAUUUAUCAGUAGUAGUAACCAAGAACAUACUGUACCAUCAUUCUGGAGAAACAACAAAAACUAAUGUCAUUAGAUUGGUUUCACAUUUUCAUCACCGUGCUUUUGUUGUCAAACAGAAUCAGAUUUACAGCAUGUAAGUUGUCCUGUCGUUUGCUCCUGUGGUUUUUGCUAUUCAUUAAUUAAAGAUAAAUGAUGACAGAAGU